Molecule: ribosomal RNA, 398 nt
Filed under: uncultured bacterium
Lineage: Bacteria
Description: bacterial SSU rRNA
Rfam family: Bacterial small subunit ribosomal RNA
Source: RNAcentral
GGCCCGGGAUAGCCCAGGGAAACCUGGAUUAAUACCGGAUGAGACGGGACCCGCGACGGCGGGACCCGGGAAAGGCGCUGCGGCGCCGCCGGGGGAUGAGUCUGCCGUCCCAUUAGCUAGACGGCGGGGUAAGGCCCACCGUGGCGACGAUGGGUAGCCGGCCUGAGAGGGUGGACGGCCACAUUGGAACUGAGACACGGUCCAGACUCCUACGGGAGGCAGCAGCUAAGAAUCUUCCGCAAUGGGCGAAAGCCUGACGGAGCGAACCGCCGCGUGAACGAAGAAGGCCGUGAGGUUGUAAAGUUCUUUCGGGAGGGGAACAACCGUGGCAGGGAAUGGCCGCGGGAUGACGUGAAUCCCGGAAUAACGCCCCCGGCUAACUACGUGCCAGCAGCUGC